AGAGAGAGACAUGCGCGCAUAUCAAUAAGCGGAGGAAAAGAAACUAACAAGGAUUCCCCUAGUAACGGCGAGUGAAGCGGGAAGAGCUCAAAUUUGAAAUCUUAAAGGGUUUCCCUUUACGAAUUGUAGUUUAAAGAAGUGUUUUCUGUUGAGGUUUUGGUAAAAGUUCUUUGGAAUAGGACAUCAUAGAGGGUGAGAAUCCCGUAUUUGACCUUUACUUUCAACUUUGUGAUACACUUUCAAAGAGUCGGAUUGUUUGGAAUGCAGUCCAAAAUGGGUGGUAAAUUUCAUCUAAAGCUAAAUAUUGGCGAGAGACCGAUAGCGAACAAGUACCGUGAGGGAAAGAUGAAAAGAACUUUGAAAAGAGAGUUAAACAGUACGUGAAAUUGUCAAAAGGGAAGCGUUUGACACCAGUGUUGUUUUUCUGAAAAUCAAUUAAAGAACUGUUUAUGCUAAGUUGUUUAGACUUUAUCAGCUAACUGUUUAGUUUUGAGCUUUUCUUUAAUGCACUUUUCAGCUAACAAGUCAACAUCAAUUUCUUUUGCUGUAAAAAAGCUUGAGGAAGGUGGCUUGAGAUUCGUCUUAAGUGUUUAUAGCCUCUUGCCUAUGCAGUCGGAGAGAUUGAGGUCUGCAGCGUAGAUCCUUCGGGGCUAAAUGCAUUUGUGCUAAGUUAUAGCAUUUUAUAGACAACCUGUUGACUAUGACUUGUCUUGUAGCUUACUCGCUUAUGUUAUUUUACCUACGCUUAGGAUGUUGAGCGCAUGUCUCUCUCU
Molecule: ribosomal RNA, 773 nt
Filed under: uncultured Neocallimastigales
Lineage: Eukaryota; Fungi; Neocallimastigomycota; Neocallimastigomycetes; Neocallimastigales
Description: partial large subunit ribosomal RNA
Rfam family: Eukaryotic large subunit ribosomal RNA
Source: RNAcentral